RNAcentral lists this long non-coding RNA (243 nucleotides) under Capsella rubella. RNAcentral describes it as "long non-coding RNA (CRUB_LNC003832)". The record is from RNAcentral. Lineage: Eukaryota; Viridiplantae; Streptophyta; Magnoliopsida; Brassicales; Brassicaceae.
UUCCAUUCUUUCUUCCUUCCCCUUCUCUUUUCUUUAUCUCUCUCUUUUUUUUUUUUUGCGGGGGAGUGGAACCGGUUCUUGUCUCACAAACUGCAUCAACAAACUCAAACAUGAAAGCUCAGCACAUGCUCAUAAAUAUAACAAUAUAACCACAAGAACUCAAUGUCAAUCAUCCCAAACAACUACAAUUACAAUCCUAAUGAAAGGAAAGCUAUGUCGGUCUUUAUUCUCCGUAGUUUUUGC